UGCCAGCAGCCGCGGUAAUACGGGAGUGUCAAGCGUUAUCCGGAUUUAUUGGGCAUAAAGAGUGCGUAGGCGGUAUUUUAAGUCAGAUGUUAAAUCCCACAGCUCAACUGUGGUCCGCAUUUGAAACUGGAAUACUAGAGACUAGGAGAGGAAAGUGGAACUCACAGUGUAGCGGUGAAAUGCGUAGAUAUUGUGAGUAACACCAGUGGCGAAGGCGGCUUUCUGGACUAGUUCUGACGCUGAGGCACGAAAGCAUGGGGAGCGAACGGGAUUAGAUA
Molecule: ribosomal RNA, 278 nt
Filed under: uncultured bacterium
Lineage: Bacteria
Description: partial 16S ribosomal RNA
Rfam family: Bacterial small subunit ribosomal RNA
Source: RNAcentral